UACGAAGGGGGCUAGCGUUGCUCGGAAUGACUGGGCGUAAAGGGCGCGUAGGCGGAUCUCACAGUCAGGCGUGAAAUUCCUGGGCUUAACCUGGGGGCUGCGUUUGAGACGUGGGGUCUUGAGUGGGGAAGAGGGUCGUGGAAUUCCCAGUGUAGAGGUGAAAUUCGUAGAUAUUGGGAAGAACACCGGUGGCGAAGGCGGCGACCUGGUCCUUGACUGACGCUGAGGCGCGAAAGCGUGGGGAGCAAACAGG
This 253-nucleotide ribosomal RNA is filed under the name uncultured bacterium. Its description in RNAcentral is "partial 16S ribosomal RNA". It matches the Rfam family "Bacterial small subunit ribosomal RNA", at positions 524 to 776 of the family's 1533-position model. The record is from RNAcentral.